UCUUGUUGGGGAAUGCUGGGAAAGACUCCUGCUGCUUCCUACUAGACGUGAGGCUUGCACUGCUCCCGCCAUGGAGCUCAGAUCAUGCCCUGGAGAAGCAGGUGACAUCGCGGAAUUUUCCUGUUCCAGAUGCCAGAAGUCUGAAAUGAAGGUGUAAAGCAGGGUGGUUCCUUCUGGAGGCUCUGAGAGAAUCACCCCAGGCCUCUCUCCAGCUUCUGGUGCUGGUAUUCUCAGGCUUGUAGGCGCAUCACCCAUGUCUGCCUCCAUCUUCACAUGGCCUUCUCCUCUGUGUCUGCCUGAAGUCUCCCUUCAUUUCUCUUGUAAGGACAUCAGUCAUUGGAUUUAGAGCCCACCCUAAACCCAGAAUGAUCUCAUCUCAAGAUUACAUCUGCACAGACGCUAUUUCCAGAUAAGGUCACAGUCAAAGGUACCAGGGGUUAGGAUAUGAACAUAUCUUUUUGAAAGACACGAUUUAACCUACAGCAGGUGCUCAGGGCAGUUGGGUGGGGGCCUGUGCUAGGGGCCCAACAGCCAAGGCUUAAAGCCGCACUCCACACCUAGGCCUGUGACACCUCCCACAAGCUUCUUCACCUCUCAAGCCUCAACUUCUACUUCUGCAAACAGGGAACAAUAAAAGUAUCUCCCUGCCCCCACCUUGCAGGGUUUCCAGUUCCAAUGUCUACACACUCACCUGGGAGUUAUCUGAAAUUGUUGUUCACCUGCUUAAACCUUUUGAGUUUCCAGCACCCCCCAGAAGUCCCCACCCUCUAGUCCCUUAGCAAGAUACUGGCCCUGCGUGAGCUUCCCACCUUCCUUGACAGCUGCAUCUCUCAUCAUUAGGACCUGGGCAACACUGCAGAAUAUGGCAGGUCUUCCCUCAUCUCUGUGCUUUGCCUCCAUUCCCUGACUUCUCUCCCAUCCUCCUCCUGUCACCUGGCCUCUCCCCAUCCUACUGGCCUUAAAGCUCAGCUCCUGAAGCCUCCCUGAUGCUCCUCCCUUCAUAGCCCCUCCCAGCCUGGCCACGUGGGCUCGGGCAGCCCAGAGCCUGGGCCUCCUGGUCACACUCUGAGCACACAGCCCAUUUUCUCUCCAGUGCUGGCUUGUGUUUGACACCAUGCCUGACACAUUGGGGGUGCUCAGUAGACCUGUGUGAGAUGGACAGCCUCCCGUACAGAUGGACGGACAGAUGUACAGCCCCGUGGAGAUGCCCUGUGUAAGCCACUGAAGCCUCUGGCCAACAGCAGUGGGAACCUGAGACGUGUCCACAAGCAUGCAUGGGAGCUUGGAAGUGGAUCCUUCAGCCCCAGCCAAGCCUUCAGACGAUGCAGCCUCAGGGACAGUAUGACUGCAGCCUCAUGAGACCCUGAGCCAGAAACACCCCUCCAAGCCACUCCCAGAUGCCUGGCCCUCAGAACCUGGGAGCAGCUGCACUUGGGGACCACAAUAAAGAAGCUUUCUCAGACUGGUUUGAACAAAGUGGUGAAUUCUCUGCAAGGACACAGAGGUGUCUCUCAAAACCCAAGGAUGGGACAGCAGGCCUCAAGAAGAACUGGAACCUCUGUCCCUUCUGUGCUUCUUUUUACUCCUGUGUUCUCUGCUUCUUGGAGCACUUGGCAGUUGGGAAGUGGCCAUUUCAAUUCUCGUGGUCAAGAAACCAGCUCAGAAAUAACCCAACCAACACAGGUGGGGUCAGGUGUCCAUCCUGGCUCCAUUUGUCAUGGCGGGAGAUGGUGAUGAAGAGAAACAUCCAGGACCAUUGGUAGGGCACCCGAAUGAGAUUCCAGGAGAGGCCAGUUCUAAGAGAAGGGUACUAGAAAGAUACCCAUUGAAGUCAAUACCACAUGUGGCACAUCCUCCUUUCAGGUGGCAAGUGUGUAGCCAAAGCAAGGUUCAGGGUCCAUAUUUGAAAGUCAGAAACUGAAUAAACUGUUUUCUCCCACCCCGAGCACUGUGGGGAACUCUGCUCACAAAUCCACCAUCCACCAUCACCAGCCGUGCUCAUCUGACCAUUCAUGCAGGCUCACACUUGACCUGAUGUGGGUUCUGUCUCCUUUGCUUGAGAAUUGAAAGGCCUGGGAGAUGCAAAAGCUUUAGGCUCCAGCCAUCUCCCCAUGUCAGGUAGGCCUUUUGCCUAGUGUAUCCAGUUGGUAAUGCUGCAGAGAUGCAUGAAGCUGGAGUCAGAGGCCACCUGUAGUGCUGCCCUGACUUCAGACCUGAGCCCAGCCCAGCAGCAGAGAGGGGGCUGGGAGCCAGAGGAGGCCUCACAGUAACAGCACAGACAGGUGGGGGCCCACAACAGGCCACAUGUGUUCAAACUCGAGUGUGGGCAGAGGAGCAUGGGAAGCUCAGAGCCCUGAGCUCACCCCACACCCAACACGAGUGGGGUCACCCAAAAUCAGCCUGUCAGCACUGUCCCAGCAGCCAGUCGCAUGCUACAUUAACAAAUUUUGCACAGGCCAGCAAGCAGGAUCGCUCACCAGCCACCCUCCUGAACUGGCCUAUGGGGCCCCAGGAUGAUGCCAUAGCCACAAGUCUGGAGUUCCUCAAAGUACCUGGUCAGCACAACUCAGUUAAACAAUGGGCAAAAGACCUGAACAGACACUUCGCCAGAGAAGAUGUACAGAUGCAAGUAAGCAUUUGAAAAGGUGCCCCACAUCGUAUGUCGUUAGGGAAUGGUCCAAUCCAGAACACUGAUGGCACCAAAGGCUGCUGAGCAUGUGGAGCAGCAGAACUCUCAUUCACUGCUGGUGAGAAAAAUGGCGCAGCCCCAAUAGGGAACCCUAAUGCAGACUCUGGACUUCACUGGAAAUGACGUGUCAGUGUAGCUGCGUCAGUUGUAACAAAUGCACCAGUCUGGUGGGCGUGUUGAUAACCGGGGCUGCGCACGUGGGGAGAGAGGACCUGUGGGAAUGCUCUACUUUCCACUCAUUUUUGCUGUGAACUUAAAACUGCUCUUACAAAAUAACAUUGUUUGUUGUUGUUGUUGUUGUUGUUGUUGUUGUUGUUUUUAAGUAUCUAGUCAGCUCCACACAUGACCCGGGCAGAGUGGGAAGUUGUAGAGUGCCCCAAGGAGAGAAAUGGAACCAGGUCUCAUGUGGGGCCAAGUGUGGGCUCCCUGUCCUCUCAGCUGGUCCCAGGAACUGAAGGGAAAUUUAGACAACUUGGAGAAAGACACUCUAGGGCUCGGGGCAAAGGGUGGUGUUGAUGAGAACCAUAUUUUUUUAUUGCUGGUGUAAGCACUUGUAUUUUUCUGAUUUUCCACUGGUUCGAUAAUAAGGGUAAAAGACAAUAAAGCAUACUUUUUAAGCUUUUGUUUAGAAGUUUUUUUUCCAAUAAAACUUCCCCAAAA
RNAcentral lists this long non-coding RNA (3349 nucleotides) under Homo sapiens (human). RNAcentral's name for it is "HSALNT0177547". Lineage: Eukaryota; Metazoa; Chordata; Mammalia; Primates; Hominidae. The record is from RNAcentral.